AACCAGGCUGGUAGUAGUCAAGUGAUGGGGUGACGCAGGAAGGUAGCCCAACCGUGGCGAUGGUUGUCCACGGCCAAGCGUGUGAGACGAAUGGUAGGUAAAUCCGCUGUUCAUAUGUCUGAGGCGUGAUGGGGAGCCACAUGUGUGGUGUAGUGGGUGAUCCUAUGCUGUCGAGAAAAACCUCUAGCGAGUUACGCGCCGCCCGUACCCCAAACCGACUCAGGUGAUCAGGUAGAGAAUACUAAGGCGAUCGAGUGAACCAUGGUUAAGGAACUCGGCAAAAUGCCCCCGUAACUUCGGGAGAAGGGGGACCUGAUCCGUCAACCACACCCACCUGGUGGGGCGUGGGGUAGCGGUGAUGGUCGCAGAGACCAGGGGAAAGCGACUGUUUACUAAAAACACAGGUCCGUGCGAAGUUGUAAGACGAUGUAUACGGACUGACUCCUGCCCGGUGCUGGAAGGUUAAGAGGACCUGUCAACAUCCACUUGUGGGUGUGAAGCGGAGAAUUUAAGCCCCAGUAAACGGCGGUGGUAACUAUAACCAUCCUAAGGUAGCGAAAUUCCUUGUCGGGUAAGUUCCGACCUGCACGAAUGGAGUACGACUUUCCCGCUGUCUCAACCAUGGACUCGGCGAAAUUGCAGUACGAGUAAAGAUGCUCGUUACGCGCGGCAGGACGGAAAGACCCCGGGACCUUUACUAUAGUUUGGUAUUGGUGUUUGGUUCGGCUUGUGUAGGAUAGGUGGGAGACUGUGAAGCAUGCACGCCAGUGUGUGUGGAGUCAUCGUUGAAAUACCACUCUGGUCGUACUAGAUGUCUAACCUAGGACCGUGACCCGGUUCAGGGACAGUUCCUGAUGGGUAGUUUAACUGGGGCGGUUGCCUCCUAAAAUGUAACGGAGGCGCUCAAAGGUUCCCUCAGCCUGGUUGGCAAUCAGGUAGCGAGUGUAAGUGCACAAGGGAGCUUGACUGUGAGACAGACAUGUCGAACAGGGACGAAAGUCGGAACUAGUGAUCCGGCCACGGCAUGUGGAAGCGUGGUCGCUCAACGGAUAAAAGGUACCCCGGGGAUAACAGGCUGAUCUUCCCCAAGAGUCCAUAUCGACGGGAUGGUUUGGCACCUCGAUGUCGGCUCGUCGCAUCCUGGGGCCGGAGUAGGUCCCAAGGGUUGGGCUGUUCGCCCAUUAAAGCGGCACGCGAGCUGGGUUUAGAACGUCGUGAGACAGUUCGGUCCCUAUCCGCCGCGCCCGCAGGAAACUUGAGAAAACCUGUCCCUAGUACGAGAGGACCGGGAUGGACGAACCUCUGGUGUGCCAGUUGUCCCGCCCGGGGCAUCGCUGGUUAGCCACGUCCGGACGUGAUAACCGCUGAACGCAUCUAAGCGGGAAACACAUUUCAAGAUAAGGUUUCCCACCCAUAUCAUGGGGUAAGGCCCCCACCAGACCAGUGGGUCGAUAGGCCGGAAGUGUACAGCAGUAAUGCCCAGCCGACCGGUACUAAUAGGCCGAGGGCUUACCUC
This 1516-nucleotide ribosomal RNA is filed under the name metagenome. RNAcentral's name for it is "bacterial LSU rRNA". It matches the Rfam family "Bacterial large subunit ribosomal RNA", at positions 1442 to 2925 of the family's 2925-position model. The record is from RNAcentral.